GGGUGAUGAAGGCGUUCGGGUCGUAAAGCCCUGUCGGGAGGGAAGAAAUGAUUGAGAGCUAAUACCUCUUGGUCUUGACGGUACCUCCGAAGGAAGCACCGGCUAACUCCGUGCCAGCAGCCGCGGUAAUACGUAGGGGGCAAGCGUUAUCCGGAUUUAUUGGGCGUAAAGCGCGUGUAGGCGGCUUGUUAAGUCAGAUGUGAAAACCGGGGGCUCAACCCGCGGCUUGCAUCUGAAACUGGCAGGCUUGAGUCUGGUAGAGGAAAGUGGAAUUCCUAGUGUAGCGGUGAAAUGCGCAGAUAUUAGGAGGAACACCAGUGGCGAAGGCGGCUUUCUGGGCCACGACUGACGCUGAGACGCGAAAGCUAGGGGAGCGAA
Molecule: ribosomal RNA, 378 nt
Filed under: uncultured bacterium
Lineage: Bacteria
Description: bacterial SSU rRNA
Rfam family: Bacterial small subunit ribosomal RNA
Source: RNAcentral